UUCAUCCUCCUUCACAGUGACUUCCCAACCCCCUAGGCUUUGGAUGAAGAUACGUUAGGUUGACUGUAUGAGUUGUUUCACAACUGCUUCCCUUUUCAAAUCUUUUUUUUUUUUUUUUUUUUUUUUAAAGGUAGAAAGAUCAGGUGAAGCUGAAAUCUGUGGAAGUGUCAAAAAAGAAUGAAUGUGACAGAGGUGAGAUUGAGAUGCAGUUAGAUAUUCUUCUUGGAGAACCUAUAUGCAAGCAGUUACUUCAGUCAAAUAAUCUGUUCAGAGAUGUGUAUAAAUCAGAGUGUGGAAGCAGAUCAUGAAUAGCAAAGAUCCUUCACAUAAAAGGAGCCCAUCGUUUCUUCCAUGCAAAUGCUAUGGGGAUUGCCUCACCCAGGGCUGGAGAGCAGCCAGGAUGCAGAGCGUGACAGCUACUCCGCAGUCCACAGCAAUGCUCUAUAUACCACGAAGAUCUGAG
Molecule: long non-coding RNA, 463 nt
Filed under: Coturnix japonica (Japanese quail)
Lineage: Eukaryota; Metazoa; Chordata; Aves; Galliformes; Phasianidae
Description: lncRNA (ENSCJPG00005006806.1)
Source: RNAcentral